GAGCUACUGCUAUCGGGNUUCGAUUAAGCCAUGCGAGUUAAAUGUUNUUCGUGAACAUAGCGAACUGCUCAGUAACACGUGGAUAACCUACCCUUAGGACCGGAAUAACCCCGGGAAACUGGGGAUAAUACCGGAUAAGCCAUAGACGCUGGAAUGCCCUAUGGUUCAAAGCUCCGGCGCCUAAGGAUGGAUCUGCGGUCUAUCAGGUUGUAGUGGGUGUAACGUACCUACUAGCCGACGACGGAUACGGGUUGUGAGAGCAAGAGCCCGGAGAUGGAUUCUGAGACACGAAUCCAGGCCCUACGGGGUGCAGCAGGCGCGAACACUUUACAAUGCGGGAAACCGCGAUAAGGGAACCCCGAGUGCCAGCAUCAAAUGUUGGCUGUCCAGAUGAUUAAAAAUCAUUUGUUAGCAAGGGCCGGGCAAGACCGGUGCCAGCCGCCGCGGUAACACCGGCGGCCCGAGUGGUAGCCGUUUUUAUUGGGUCUAAAGGGUCCGUAGCCGGCCUGAUAAGUCCUUUGGGAAAUCUGGCAGCUUAACUGUCAGGCUUCUAAGGGAUACUGUCAGGCUUGGGACCGGAAGAGGUAAGGGGUACUCCAGGGGUAGGAGUGAAAUCUUGUAAUCCCUGGGGGACCAUCUGUGGCGAAGGCGCCUUACCAGAACGGGUCCGACGGUGAGGGACGAAAGCUAGGGGAGCAAACCGGAUUAGAUACCCGGGUAGUCCUAGCUGUAAACGAUGCUCGCUAGGUGUCAGACACGGUGCGACCGUGUUUGGUGCCGCAGGGAAGCCGUUAAGCGAGCCACCUGGGAAGUACGGUCGCAAGGCUGAAACUUAA
Molecule: ribosomal RNA, 836 nt
Filed under: uncultured euryarchaeote
Lineage: Archaea; Methanobacteriati; Methanobacteriota
Description: bacterial SSU rRNA
Rfam family: Archaeal small subunit ribosomal RNA
Source: RNAcentral